This 497-nucleotide ribosomal RNA is filed under the name uncultured bacterium. RNAcentral's name for it is "partial 16S ribosomal RNA". It matches the Rfam family "Bacterial small subunit ribosomal RNA", at positions 28 to 507 of the family's 1533-position model. The record is from RNAcentral.
GAUGAACGCUGGCGGCGUGCCUAAUACAUGCCAGUCGAGCGAACGGACGAGAAGCUUGCUUCUCUGAUGUUAGCGGCGGACGGGUGAGUAACACGUGGAUAACCUACCUAUAAGACUGGGAUAACUUCGGGAAACCGGAGCUAAUACCGGAUAAUAUUUUUAACCGCAUGGUUCAAAAGUGAAAGACGGUCUUGCUUUCACUUAUAGAUGUAUCCGCGCUGCAUUAGCUAGUUGGUAAGGUAACGGCUUACCAAGGCAACGAUGCAUAGCCGACCUGAGAGGGUGAUCGGCCACACUGGAACUGAGACACGGUCCAGACUCCUACGGGAGGCAGCAGUAGGGAAUCUUCCGCAAUGAGCGAAAGCCUGACGGAGCAACGCCGCGUGAGUGAUGAAGGUCUUCGGAUCGUAAAACUCUGUUAUUAGGGAAGAACAUAUGUGUAAGUAACUGUGCACAUCUUGACGGUACCUAAUCAGAAAGCCACGGCUAACUACGUG